GGCCGCGGGUAAUUCGAUUACUGCUCANUAACACGUGGACAAUCUGCCCUGAAGUGGAGGAUAAUCCCGGGAAACUGGGGGUAAUACUCCAUAGUUCGUGCUGACUGGAGUGUUAUGCGAACGAAAGAUCCGUCGCUUUAGGAUGAGUCUGCGGCCGAUUAGGUAGUUGUUGGGGUAACGGCCCAACAAGCCUGUCAUCGGUACGGGUUGUGGGAGCAAGAGCCCGGAGAUGGAUUCUGAGACACGAAUCCAGGCCCUACGGGGCGCAGCAGGCGCGAAAACUUUACCAUGCGGGCAACCGUGAUAAGGAAACCCCGAGUGCCAGCACAGGCUGGCUGUCCGCCAGUGUAAAUAACUGGUGAAGAAAGGGCCGGGCAAGACCGGUGCCAGCCGCCGCGGUAAUACCGGCGGCUCGAGUGGUGGCCACUAUUACUGGGCUUAAAGGGUCCGUAGCUUGAUAUGCAAGUCUCUUGAGAAAUCCGCCAGCUUAACUGGUGGGCGUUCAGGGGAAACUGCAUUUCUAGGGACCGGGAGAGGUGAGAGGUACUGCCGGGGGUAGGAGUGAAAUCCUGUAAUCCCGGUGGGACCACNUAUGGCNAAGGCAUUNUCACCNGAACGGGUCCGACAGUGAGGGNACGAAAGCUGGGGGA
Molecule: ribosomal RNA, 650 nt
Filed under: uncultured Methanospirillum sp.
Lineage: Archaea; Methanobacteriati; Methanobacteriota; Methanomicrobia; Methanomicrobiales; Methanospirillaceae
Description: bacterial SSU rRNA
Rfam family: Archaeal small subunit ribosomal RNA
Source: RNAcentral